Molecule: transfer RNA, 87 nt
Filed under: Anemia phyllitidis
Lineage: Eukaryota; Viridiplantae; Streptophyta; Polypodiopsida; Schizaeales; Anemiaceae
Description: tRNA-Ser
Rfam family: tRNA
About the family: Transfer RNA (tRNA) molecules are approximately 80 nucleotides in length. Their secondary structure includes four short double-helical elements and three loops (D, anti-codon, and T loops).
Source: RNAcentral
GGAAGAAUGGCCGAGCGGUCUAAGGCGUAGCACCGGAAAUGCUAUGUAGAUUAAUAUCUACCAAGGGUUCAAAUCCCUUUUCUUCCU